CCCUCGAUGGUCUAAUGGAUGAUAUCAUCUUGUCGUCUCAGAAGAGAACAAGCGCGGGAGACCUGGUGUUCGAUUCCCAGUCGGGGAG
Non-coding RNA from Aspergillus sergii, 88 nucleotides. The record is from the annotation of a GenBank genome assembly. Lineage: Eukaryota; Fungi; Ascomycota; Eurotiomycetes; Eurotiales; Aspergillaceae.